RNAcentral lists this ribosomal RNA (467 nucleotides) under uncultured bacterium. RNAcentral describes it as "partial 16S ribosomal RNA". It matches the Rfam family "Bacterial small subunit ribosomal RNA", at positions 28 to 507 of the family's 1533-position model. The record is from RNAcentral.
GAUGAACGCCGACAGAAUGCUUAACACAUGCAAGUCCACUUGAAUUUGGGUUUUUAACUUAGGUUUGGGUGGCGGACGGGUGAGUAACGCGUAAAGAACUUGCCUCACAGCUAGGGACAACAUUUGGAAACGAAUGCUAAUACCUAAUAUUAUGAUAAUAGGGCAUCCUAUAAUUAUGAAAGCUAUAAGCGCUGUGAGAGAGCUGUGCGUCCCAUUAGCUAGUUGGAGAGGUAACGGCUCACCAAGGCGAGGAUGGGUAGCCGGCCUGAGAGGGUGAUCGGCCACAAGGGGACUGAGACACGGCCCGUACUCCUACGGGAGGCAGGAGUGGGGAAUAUUGGACAAUGGACCGAGAGUCUGAUCCAGGAAUUCUGUGUGUACGAUGAAGUUUUUCGGAAUGUAAAGUGCUUUCAGUUGGGAAGAAACAAAUGACGGUACCAACAGAAGAAGCGACGGCUAAAUACGUG